RNAcentral lists this long non-coding RNA (879 nucleotides) under Marmota monax (woodchuck). The record is from RNAcentral. Lineage: Eukaryota; Metazoa; Chordata; Mammalia; Rodentia; Sciuridae.
CUCUGAAAGUAUUGUAUCUUCAAAAUCCACAAAUUAGUUAAAUAAAAGAAUUAAGGCAUGGUAGAAAUAGAGAUGAGGGAAGAAGAAGUUCUUUAAGAUAUCACAAGAUGAUGUUGUGGAAGGAAAUCUAAAAAACACAGCAACCUUUCUCAGGAGAUGUAUCACAGGACUGUCUCUAGUAAAAAAUUACUUUUGAAUUUGAAGAAAUCUUAGAAGUCCAUCAAAAGAUAAUGCAGAGAAAAAAGGAAGAAUUCCCUUCUACCACAUAAAAAAGUUUUAGGAGACUAGAGAAUCAAAACCCAGAUUUAGAACCAAGAUUGGUUUCUGCAAGAAUAUGAUUUUAUACAUAUAUACACAAGAUAACAGUGAUUGAGAAUUUUAUAAAAUAUAAUGAAACAAAUGUGUCCUAAAUGAGUAAAUGAGAAAAUGAUGAUUAUGUUAAAACAGUAGGGACCUAGUCAAUACUAUUAAAGGAUGGGGGAAAACUGGAAAGAAUGCAGAUAUAGAUACAAUUAAUAUUUUCUACAGAAAUGUCAACAGAAAAAUGAUAUAUUGUAAAAGUCAUUCAAGGGGCUGGUGGCUCAGUGGCAGAGCACUUGCCUAGCAUGUGUGAGGCACUAAGUUCGAUCUUCACCACCACAUACAAAAUAUAAGCAAAUAAAACAAAGGCACGCUGUCCAUCUACAACUACCAAAAAAAUAAUUUUAAAAGUCCUUCAAGUGCUGGGAAAACUGGAUAUCCACAUGGAGAAGUAUGAAAUUAGAUAUUCACCUCAAACACUACACCAAAAUCAACUCAAAAUUGAUUAAAUAUUUGAACAUAAAUACUAAAACUAUGCAUGGCAUGGUAGCUCACAUCUGUAAUCUCGGUGGCUUGGGA